UACUAUAUUCCGAAAUUAUAAUCUCAGGCAAUAGAGUGACCAUACACAUAAUGGUGGCAGAACAUAACACACCAACUAAGACUGCAAGCACAACUAAUUACAUGAUACGGGGCUAGAACAUAUAACCACAACUAGAGCAGGUUCGCGGCUAUCAUGUCUCAAGAAUUCAUAUGGAUGAUCAAAUGACAUCCUUUCCAAUAACAGCUCUGCCACACAAUCUAAUCAUCAUAAGCUGAAAUGUAGCUUCACAUUCCUGCAGAAAAUUCAGGGCAUUCAGACAUAUCAGAAGAAUUCACCCAAGAAGCGAACAAAAAGAAAAUUUUGAAUGGCUGUAGGUUAACUGAACUGUUUGGUUUAAACAUGUCUGUAUAAGCAGUUAAGCACAUUGUUGAUCAAAACUUGCAGGACACAUUCAGCAUAUUGUAACUGUGUAUCACCUUAUCAAGCACCUUGUUCAGUAGGGUUCAAGAACGCCAGCGGCCAUGCUAUCGUGUAAGGAUAUAUCAGCGGAGACGGGCAAUCCUCGACCAUAGACAGCCUCGUCAUCUUCAUGGUCUCAAGAUGAAUGGAGAACAAACAACUGCAGCUGCGCAAGAACACAACACCAGCAGCUACCCCGAUGACAUCGCCCUGUGGAGUAUGGUGAAAAGGAUCCGAACCAAUCAUCGCUUGCAUCGCCGUGCGGAAUCUCACCGACUUUUCCAACAGCGUCCAUGUCAGCCCACCGGCGCCGUCGUCCUCGCCGACCCAAACCUCGAUGCAAAAUCCACGCAUAGUGAGCACCCAGAGCUUACCGGCGCCAUCCUCCCCCUUCUCAAUGACGUCGAAGCUCUGCUCCCGCAAGAAAGGCGGGAGCGCCAGCACGGUGAGCUCCAUCGUCGCGGUGUUGAGCGCCACCAUGUGCCGCCCACCCAUUAGCUUCCAGUACAGCGACCGUUUGGCUUGCAUCGCGCGGGAUCCAGCGAGAUUGGGCUGCUGCGCGAGGCCACCCAAGUCGUCCCACCGGAGCUCAGCGGAGGAGAGGAGAAAGGCGCGCAGCUCUGUGGUUCCAGCACGUCGGGAAAUGCAUACCGCCUUGAAGGCCGAAGAGUCGCCGUCGUCGGGGACGAGGGCGUACCCUACGCGGCGCCCACCGGGGAGCGCGGGGAGUGAAACCCAGCGCCGGGUUAACGGGUCGGCGACGGCGAGUUCUCCGGAAGCCCCGUCACGCAACAGGAGGCUGCCGUUGCGGCAGUCCAGGAGCCGACACGGGAUGCCGGCGCCAUCCGGCCGGCCGCGGCGGGGGAGGAAGGAGAGGGCGAAGUCUCCUCCCUCGAUGGUGCGGUGCGUGGCGCGGAGGAGGUCGGCGGGCAGAAGGUAAGGGGCGCUGGCCCCGCGGCGCUUGCUGGGGCGGUAGAGGAGGCAUCCGAGGAUGACCGGGCAGGUCGAGGGGUGGCGGCGGCGGAAGCGGCGGAGGAAGGCUGCGCUGCGGGCGACCCGGAGGAAAGGCUGACAGGCGAGCGCCGCGCGGAGGAGGUCGGCGGGGGUCGGGAGGAGGAUGAAGACCUCCUGUAGGAUGUCGUCGCCGAGGACGGCGAUGGUGGCGGCCGCCGGAGCCAUGUGGCGCAGGACGGAGUGACGCACCUGGGCGGCGUUUCAUUGUGACCUAAUGUGUCGAGCAAUCGCGCAGAGGAGAGUGAGAGAGCAGAUGGCCCGGCCCAAUUCGGCAUUCAUUUUUGGGAAGCUGCUACCCCAGUUUUUUCUGGUUGUAGGAGGUUCUGGAAGGGUUAUAGUUUCGUUUUUCUCCGGGGGUUUCAUUUUUGUCUUUAAAUAAAAAUCAUUUGCGAAAAAUUCACAUUACGUUAAAAAUCCAUAUUUUCUAAAAGUUCUAAAUUUACAAAAAAAACCAGGAUGUUAGAAAAAUGUUCACAAAAGUUUAAAAUAUGUUCACGUUUUUUUUAAAUGUUCAAGUUAUUUAAAGUAUUCUCACAAACGUUUUAUUUUCUUUCAAAAAAUUCAACAAUUUUCACAUUUUAAAAGGGUUCAAUUCAUGAAAUAAUUUAUUGUGUUCUCUGGAAAAUCAAUGAAAACAAAAAAAAAAGAAACAUAAUUGGGCAAAAAAUUCACUUGCUUCACGUGAGUUGUUGCAGUACCUAGUGCGGUAAUGGGUCGGGCCCCUCACGGCACCCCUGUGCACACCUCUCCUAUCUGACGGAAAAGAGUGUCAAAUAGGAGGUCGCUCGAACCCUCGACAUAUGCCCAGCCUAAAAACCCAACCCAAGGGACCUUCCCAAACCUCUCCCAUUUGUUUGGAUUGUCUGGACCGUCCCAACCCAGCCCAUAUGUCAGGCGGAUACGAUGCCGUCUAGACAUGUCCACCACAUAGGACCCGGCAAACCGACAUCACUCCACUCCCACCAAAUCAACCUGCAACUUGUUCUUCUCCUCAUUUCUAUUGUCCAGCCUGCGCCCUCCCCAUCAUGCGCCACCUGGAGCCCUGCCACGCCCUUGAACUUGUUCGCCAUCCUGGACCCUACCCCUACUUGGAGCACCACCCCCGAGCACAGUCGUGGCACCAGACGCCACCCCGGUACGUCCUAGUUCUCAUGGAUGUUGCCACAGUUGGGGAACGUAGUACAAAAUAAAAAAAAUCUACCGCAUGUACUUACACACCCAGGAACACUAUAAAGAUGCUAGAGGUAGAUCAUAUCGUUAUCAACAAACGUGGCGGAGAAGGGAUGUUGGUGUAGACUUGUAGAUUCCCACAGCUAGGUUCAAAUAUCCUAGCCAUGGGAAUUUCUCCCAUUCAAGGAUCGAAGCUACGACCCCUCUUCCGAUAUCCAUGCCAAGGAAUCACCGAUCUAGCAUGGCUCGUUGUCCAGGAUGAAGACAUGCUAGAGACUAGGGGAUGGAGCAGCCUUGAGGCGAUGGUGGAAACUUGCAGAGAUAGAGAUGGAGAGGGUGCCGCCAGGAAUUCAGAUAGAAUUGAGGGUUUGCCCCCUCCGCUAUAUAUAUAGGCGCAUGGGCGGAAGGACUCCCUCCCUAGGGUCGGCAGCACCAGGGAGGGAUGUGCCCGAAACCCUAGCCAUCGCCCCCUUUGCCUUGGCCCCCAAGGCAUGUGGGAUGCGCCACACUAAUGGCCCCCUUGAUGACCCAAAAAUAUAAGUGAUCAAUCAUAGCCUUUUCGAUAAGUAAGAGUGUCAAACCCAACAAGGAGUAGAAGGAAUUGACAAUUAGUUUUCAGUAAAGUUUCAUUGUAAAUGUUGUGAAGAUAAUUUGAUAGGUUAUUGAUAGCAAGAUAAUUCGUAACAACAUAAAUCUCUACUCCUAAUGUCUCAGUUGGUAGUCUUCAUUCCCGGUUAAAUUUUGUCCCACCAAUGCUGGGUUUUUUUCGUCCUCCCUCCCACCUCCCACGUUCCAGCGAUCCCGCCUGGACCCGUGAACCAACAAAAAAAAUAGUUAUGUACCCACGAUUUCCAGCGGCAAACCUCCGGCCGAUCGAGAAAAAGCGGUGUGAAAAAAUCUACGAAAAUAAACCUACGAAAAUUAACCGGACGCUCGCAUCUACCAGCGAUUCCUCGUGCCCCUCGAUCCCCUCAAGACACAGGGCUCCUCUCCCGAAGAGUGAAGUCUAAAAUAAACCUUGAGGUUGUAGAGCUCGACGUAAACGAACCCUCACUUCUAAAUCCCUGAAAUUGGUACCCUGUAUGGUUAUCUUUUCUGAUAUAUCGGAGGUUUUGUGUGCAGAGGCCGCCAGGUUGAAGUUGGAUGUUGCUUUUGUAGUUCCCAGUGAAGGAUGAUGCUGGGUCAUUUACAUAUCCCAGUCAAUCCAAACCCUGGAUGAGUAAAAUCCUGUUUGUUGUAAUAAAAAGGCGUGAUUCCAGCCGGGAUUGAUUCUACUCUCACUUACAACAUGGGCCCACCUGUUAUAUGCAUCACCCUCCCCAAUCAAUUUGAACUCGCCUCCAGAUGAGUGUAUCGGACGGGGCCAGGUCGGCCAUCGACGCCAUCCUAGACGAGCUCCUGGGCGUGUCCAAGCAUGAACGGCGUGCGUGGAUGAUGGCGCGCUAUCCCGACCAGAGGAGCCCCCGCCGGCAAGCGAUUGCUGCUCGUCGGGGCUAGGCUGCAGGAAAGGUGGCGUCAACGGGGCGAGGAUGCCGCCAUGGAUGCCACCAACAGCGCAUGAACAUGAAGAAGUAUAUUAACGGGAAGACUGGCGGCUUGGCCUCCGCGGCGAGCACCGCCGCCGUGUCCAUCAACGGAGUGUUGGCUCUGUCGAGAUUAACAGCGAAGUACACCUAGAUUACUAUGAGACAAGGCAAGAAAAAUAUCACAAGGUUCUGUUGGAAUCCAUCGGUAUCCGGCAUCUCGCGUGUGUGUACCCAGAAGAGAUAAUCUAAUCCAUCAAGCCAGAGUCACUGACUCACGUACUAGCUCGUGCUUGUACAGGACUAUAUCAAACCAGCCCUGUACGCAUGUGCCUUCCGGCAACACUUCAAUGCUAAAUUGAUGCUCGUUGAUACAGAAGAAGUUCAGGUGGCUCUGGUCGUCUUCGCCUUUGCCGUGCGUGCCCACGCCUGGAGAUUUGUCGUCGCGGACGGCGGCGAGCCUCCGAGACACAGCGUCGACGAAGCCAAGGGAGAUGUUGAGCUUGGUCCGGUGAUCCCUAAUGGCGUCCUUCAUCCUCUUGAUGACGAACAACUCUGCGCCGUUGGCGUGCUGGGCUCCUAGCUCCUCACCGGCCACGGCUGCCAUGGCCAUCAUGGCCUGCGUGCUCACCGGAUAGCAGCAGGCACUCCCGGGAUGCAUCUUCAAUCAGGAUUGUGUAGCGAGGAAGAUGGCUAUGAUGUUUUGACCCGCGUGACAUGAGACAAGCGAGUUUCGGGUAGGAUUGUGCUUUUCCCAGUCUGCUAAACAUAUGUGGGGUUAGGAUAGACCGGGAUCGAAGAGGUUGGGUACCGAUUUUAGGGAUUUGGAGGUGAGGGUUCAUCUACAUCGACCCCUACAAUCUCAGGGUUUAUUUUAGACUUCACUCUCUCCCGAACGAGGUCCGAUCCGCUCCUCCCCCUCUCCCGAGGAUACGCAGCCGCCGCCUUCGCCGGAUUCGCCGCCGUCGAUCUGCUGAUCCGGGCAGCGCAGCCGCCGCCGAUCUGCCUAUCCAGGCAGACGCGGCCGUCAUGGAUCACGAGAACACCGCGCCUCGAAUACGUUGCCCAUCACCACCACGAUGGCACCUCGCUGCUGCCGCUCAGCAUGGAUGGCCGCCCCAAGACAUGGAUAAGCUCUCGUGAUCCCCACCCCACCCCUCUCAUCCACUGAAUCCAUAUCCUCCUUCCCGUCUUGAUCCCGCCCAUGAUCUGAUCAGGAAGCUGCCCACGGUCCGAUCCCCUGGUUUUUUAUCCAGUUAUCCACCUCUCGUCUCUCGUCUAGCAACCCCCAUCUUCGGUGUGGCGACGUUGCUGACGUCGCCGCGACCUCCCGCAAUUAUAGGCUCGGCCUUCCUCGACUCCAUGCGCGGCUGACGAGGUGGUCUUCGUGCAGAGGUGGUAUGCUCGUGCUCUCCUGGUCCUCCCGAAACGACGAGGGGUAGUGCCGGUCGUGGCUCAGCAGGAUAGCAUAAGCUUGCCCUUGUUCUUUUGUGUUUGAAUCAGAUUUGUUGGUUCUCAGUUUUACAUGCACCUAUCAAUCUUUCUUCUGUAUGCAGGUUACACACCUGAUGAUGUUUACGGCGAGGCGCAGGAACAAGCAGAGGCCGAGGAAGUGCGGGCACACGCGAGGAAGGUUCAGCGGGCUGCAGAAGUCGGGCCACGCCCGGAGCGCCGUGCCAAUGCAUGUGUGCGUGGUUGGUGGGUUGGCCAAGAUCUGCAUUCUGCGACUUCGUCUUCACCAUGGACACAAGCAAGGACUGAUUCGUGGGUCUUGGUAGCAGUGCCGAGCAUCGGCGGAUCGAAGAGGUCGAGGUCGCGGUUGAUCGACCAGGACGAGACAUGCAUCUUGGAGCUAGCGCAGAGGGGGAAAGAAGCAGGUUGGUCUGGCCUGGCCUCGCAAAUGAAUUGGUAUGUAGUCUAGUUCUUCCCAUGAAGGUCACAUGCCUAACUUCGUGCUAGACAUUGCUAACUCAGCCACUUGAUGUUAAACUCUGUAUGCGUAACUAGACCUAGCUAACUCCAAGAUUCGAUGUGUUAAAUUAAAGUACCAAUCAGGCAUGUUCACCACUUUGUACGUGUGUGCUCUUGCAUUGCUUACUAUAUCUUGUUGUAUAUGAUGGUCCAUUGUCAGCUAUACAACUUUUGAAUUCUGUCAAGUUCAGUUCAGAUUUGAUUUUUUUUCACCUCUUUUUGCAUGGACAAUGUGUCUGGUGUUUAAAUGAUGGCUACUUGAAAUUCAUAGGCAUUGUGAGGUUAGAAAGGAUUCCAUUUUGACUAUUUUUUUCACUUUGGUUCAAAGUUGUUAGCUGCUACACCUACACGUGGAAAACGUACACUUGGCAUUCUAAAAUUAAGCAGCAACCUUUAUUGCCGGUCAUUUAUAAGUUCAGUGACAAGACAACUGCUGACACAGAGUUCUACCUCUCUGACUGAAACAGGAACUAUGAAGAGUAAUAUAGUAGAAACUAUAGUCAUAGAAACUAAAUUAGAAAUUUACAAGGCAGUGGAACCAGUUCAUAUUUUGUGAGCAACCAAAGUCUCAAGCAGCCUAAAUUCGUAAACUUUUAAUGAACUGGCUUAUGAAAAUUUGAUGGUUUUGUCAAUAGUACAGUAGUACUGGAUAUUCUGCUGUUUCUUGACCUGAUUUUACUACUACGACAUGCAGAAACCUUGAUGCAAAAGGAAACUUCCUGAAGAAGAUAUUGAAAAUCCAACAUCACAGCAUAUAGGAGACUACUUAUUUUGGUCAUGCUGAUCGAUUGGCCUAUGAAACUUCUGCGACUUCAUAUUCACCAUGGACACAAGCAAGGACUGAUUCGUGGGUCUUGGUAGCGGUGCCGAGCAUCAGUGGAUCGAAGUGGUCGAGGUCGCGGUUAAUCGACCAGGACGAGACAUGCAUCUUGGAGCUAGCGCAGAGGGGGAAAGAAGCAGGUUGGUCUGGCCCGGCCUCGCAAAUGAAUUGGUAUGUCCAGUUCUUCCCAUGAAGGUCACAUGCCUAACUUCGUGCUACACAUUGCUAACUCAGCCACUUGAUGUUAAACUCUGUAUGCGUAACUAGACCUUGCUAACUCCAAGAUUCGAUGUGUUAAAUUAAAGUACCAAUCAGGCAUGUUCACCACUUUGGACGCAAAAACAAAGUGUAUGAGCAUGCAAUGUAUAAUUGGUGAGAUUAGGGGAAUGUACUGACAAGUGAUGAGCAUAUUUUCUUGUGUGUCGUCCUCGAUGUUGCUUCCUUGGCUCACACAGUAGUUCUCUUAAUACGUACCGUACUCGAUUUGAUUGGCAGGCUUCAGGUAAUUCAUGUUCGUGUGGUAAGAAUCGAUUGUACCACUUUGUUGAUGCAAUAACAUCAAUGGACCUGUACUGCUACGAGUUACAUCAUGAACUAUGUGCUACUUUAUUAAUUGUAGUUUCUUUGUUCAGUUAGUUCUCUGAAACAAAACCACUUCUCUCGAUGUAUAUGUUUCUUGGCAAAAUUUGUUGUAAUACUAAUCUUCCAGAGAUUGUUGUAAGAAAUAACUAUAUUUAGUAUCUUACCUCAUCAGUGGGUUAAUUAUAUAGAAUAACUAAUAAGGAGAUUUCUUAGCAGUAUUGUAUAUGUUUGGAGCAGUGAGACAAUUUUAUCGUAUAUGACUUUCUUUCACUUGCCUUUCCUGAUUUCGUUUUCCCCUCCAUUUAUUUCAGGUUCCAAAGUUUGACCGUAGCUAGCUUGAUUUGGAGACAUUUCAUGUUAGGACUUAAACUUUGGUACCUUUGUUACUUGGUAUUCCCCUGUCAGCGUUCAGGUAUACACUAUCUACCAUAUUGUUUAAUCUGGGGUUUACUACGGUGCCAAGUGUACUAUAUUGCUAGAUUCAACUUUAACCUAUGAGUUGCUCUGUAUCUAUUUCAGCAUAAAUGAUUCAACUUUAACCUAUUUAAUUAGUGAUCUUACUUCUGUUGCUUCUUGGUGAAUAUGAAAUAUAUGGCGUUUUCAUGGAAGCAGGAGUCGGGUAGUUGUGGAGUGGGUCGUGGGAGAGACCGUCGGCGAGAGCGGGCUGGAUGGGAAGGUGAUGCCUGCGAUGGCGAACAUGCCGGCGAGCAGGGAAGGGUUGACCAUGGCCAUUGCGCAGCUGAAGAAGUCGAAGCCUGGGGCGAGGUUGGCCACCGUGGCCGAUGUGAAAGCUGACGGACCUAAAGGCUGGUGACAGGUUCACCGCCAUCACAAUCUCUGAACUUGGUGGAGACGCGGAAGGAGAGCGGUGGCGCCGUGAAGACCUCAACGUUUGCUGCCGCGGCCAUGACCAUGAUCAUGACCAUUGUGUUGGUAAUAAAUAUACUAAUUGUAUACAUAUCCCCCAGCUUAGGAAACAUUAGAUAAAUAUCCAACUUAUUAUUGAAAAAGCUUGAUUCAAAAUAAAUGGAACCUUUCCUAUAUACAAUGAGCUUCGGAAACAUUAGAUAAAUAUCCAACUUAUUAUUGAAAACUCUUGAUUCAAGAUAAAUGGAACCUUUCCUAUAUACAGUGACCUUAUUAUUGAAGGUUGCAUCGAUUGUGCUAUUAUUGCUGAAAUAAGAGGCUUAUGAAUUUGUCAAUCUUUGUGUACCUUGUAAUAGUGACACGUUGUUGCGUGAAGUUGAGUGAUACUCCCUCCGUAAAGAGUGUUUAGGGAGUACUAAUACUAUUUAAAAAUGGACGAUCUAUAUCCAGUCAUAAGUUCUUGGGUGGCGAAUGAUUUGGCUGGUUAAGGAGAUAGGAAGAUUGCCGAGAAAAGUGGAAGAGAAUUUAUAUUCGUCGUUGCAUGAUGAAAAUCAGAUGUAACCAUGCUUAACCCGUAUUUCUAAAUUAGGAGAAUAAUUUGAUUGUUGUGUUCAUAUUUUUAUUAUUCUGUGGCAACGUAUGGGUAUUCGGCUUUAGCCCGUAGCAACACACGGGCAUUUUUACUAGUAUUAACUAAAGCAAUAGAGUGCAACAAGUGACUCAAUCCUUAUGUAUGCAGGACAAGACGGUUGUGUUUUUAUAAUAGUUAAAACGCUCUUGAGGGCACACAGAAAUUUCGUAAGUUACUUUCACCAUGAUUCAUUAAGCUAUCAUUUAUUGAUUUGACAAGUGUUGUGUGGGUGGACCGGAGGUAAGGUUCUUACUUCAACAAAUGCCUACCUAUGAUUGUACCCUCCAAUCAAGCAUCCGCCAAUCUCCAUACACAACAUGUCUCAAAAUUUCACAAGAGAAGAGAAAAGGCACUAACACCAAUUGAUAGAACAAAUGAUCCGGCUUCACCUUAUAAAGGCACUCACUGGCAUAGGCCAAGUUAGCUCUUCAGCUUCAGCUUCAGCUUUUUCCCUGUGAAUGACCCUGUAGUUUGGAUGCAUAGUAAGGCUGCCAAACAGGCAUUUGCAUCAGAUCAACCACACUCAAAAUCUGAACCAGAACUGAAGUCGCCCAAUAUAUGCAAACAUGGUAGAAAGACAAGUAGUACUCUAUAACGUAACUCAGAAAUCUCAUUGCAUUUUUACCUACAAAACCUUCAACCCAGAUUAAGUGAAUAAAUAAACCUGGAACAUGGUACUGCUGUCUCCAUCCAUGGCGCAACUCAGAGAAGCGAAAAAUAAAUAAAAACGCACCAACACCAAACGACAGAACAAUUAUCAAACUUCACCAUAAUAACAACAUUUGAUGACAUUAGGCCAAGUUCUUCAGUCUUCAGUUUCUUCAUUGAGCAUGGAUCGGAAGAAAAGUAAGACUAUCCAGCAUUCGCGCAUCAGUAUCAGAGGAGCCAGACUCCAAACCCCAGCCAGAAAUUGACACGAUAUAUAAUGAUCAUACAAGCAACAUAAAAGCUCCGGCAUAACAUUCACAAAAGCAUGCUAAAUACUAUAUUCCGAAAUUAUAAUCUCAGGCAAUAGAGUGACCAUACACAUAAUGGUGGCAGAACAUAACACACCAACUAAGACUGCAAGCACAACUAAUUACAUGAUAUGAAGCUAAAACUGUAAGCACAACUAGAGCAAGUUUGCGGCUAUCAUGUCUCAAGAAUUCAUAUGGAUGAUCAAAUGACAUCCUUUUUCCAACAUCAGCUCUGCCACAGAAUCUAAUCACCAUAAGCUGAAUGUAGCUUCACAUUCCUGCAGAAAAUUC
This 10245-nucleotide long non-coding RNA is filed under the name Triticum aestivum (bread wheat). Its description in RNAcentral is "long non-coding RNA (TAES_LNC015036)". Lineage: Eukaryota; Viridiplantae; Streptophyta; Magnoliopsida; Poales; Poaceae. The record is from RNAcentral.